RNAcentral lists this ribosomal RNA (207 nucleotides) under uncultured Acidobacteriota bacterium. RNAcentral describes it as "uncultured Acidobacteria bacterium partial 16S ribosomal RNA". It matches the Rfam family "Bacterial small subunit ribosomal RNA", at positions 568 to 774 of the family's 1533-position model. The record is from RNAcentral. Lineage: Bacteria; Pseudomonadati; Acidobacteriota.
CGCGUAGGCGGCUUGGCAAGUCAGAUGUGAAAGCCCCGGGCUUAACCCGGGAAUUGCAUCUGAAACUGCUUUGCUUGAGUCCUGGAGGGGGUAGUGGAAUUCCCAGUGUAGCGGUGAAAUGCGUAGAUAUUGGGAGGAACACCUGCGGCGAAGGCGGCUACCUGGACAGUGACUGACGCUGAGGCGCGAAAGCUAGGGGAGCGAACG